UCCCUGGUAGUAUAUCGGCUAGUACACGCGCCUGUCAUAUUGACCUAGUGGUGGUUAAGUCCCCUUGUGGAGCGCGCGAAAGCGGGGUUCGACUCCCCGCCAGGGAG
Non-coding RNA from Abortiporus biennis, 107 nucleotides. NCBI's taxonomy places the organism in Eukaryota, Fungi, Basidiomycota, Agaricomycetes, Polyporales, Podoscyphaceae. The record is from the annotation of a GenBank genome assembly.